CCAGACUCCUACGGGAGGCAGCAGUGGGGAAUAUUGCACAAUGGGGGAAACCCUGAUGCAGCGACGCCGCGUGGGUGAAGAAGUAUUUCGGUAUGUAAAGCCCUAUCGGCAGGGAAGAAAUUGGACGGUACCUGACUAAGAAGCCCCGGCUAACUACGUGCCAGCAGCCGCGGUAAUACGUAGGGGGCAAGCGUUAUCCGGAUUCACUGGGUGUAAAGGGAGCGUAGACGGCCAUGCAAGCCUGGAGUGAAAGCCCGGGGCCCAACCCCGGGACUGCCCUGGGAACUGUGCGGCUGGAGUGCGGGAGGGGCAGGCGGAAUUCCUGGUGUAGCGGUGAAAUGCGUAGAUAUCAGGAGGAACACCGGUGGCGAAGGCGGCCUGCUGGACUGCAACUGACGUUGAGGCCCGAAAGCGUGGGGAGCAAACAGGAUUAGAUCCCCCAGUA
RNAcentral lists this ribosomal RNA (445 nucleotides) under uncultured bacterium. RNAcentral's name for it is "bacterial SSU rRNA". It matches the Rfam family "Bacterial small subunit ribosomal RNA", at positions 331 to 792 of the family's 1533-position model. The record is from RNAcentral.